GACGAACGCUGGCGGCGUGCUUAACACAUGCAAGUCGAACGGAAAGGCCCUGCUUUUGUGGGGUGCUCGAGUGGCGAACGGGUGAGUAACACGUGAGUAACCUGCCCUUGACUUUGGGAUAACUUCAGGAAACUAGGGCUAAUACCGGAUAGGAGCUCCUGCUGCAUGGUGGGGGUUGGAAAGUUUCGGCGGUUGGGGAUGGACUCGCGGCUUAUCAGCUUGUUGGUGGGGUAGUGGCUUACCAAGGCUUUGACGGGUAGCCGGCCUGAGAGGGUGGCCGGCCACAUUGGGACUGAGAUACGGCCCAGACUCCUACGGGAGGCAGCAGUGGGGAAUAUUGCACAAUGGGCGGAAGCCUGAUGCAGCAACGCCGCGUGCGGGAUGACGGCCUUCGGGUUGUAAACCGCUUUCGCCUGUGACGAAGCGUGAGUGACGGUAAUGGGUAAAGAAGCACCGGCUAACUACGUG
Molecule: ribosomal RNA, 468 nt
Filed under: uncultured bacterium
Lineage: Bacteria
Description: partial 16S ribosomal RNA
Rfam family: Bacterial small subunit ribosomal RNA
Source: RNAcentral